This 21-nucleotide non-coding RNA is filed under the name Caenorhabditis elegans. The record is from RNAcentral. Lineage: Eukaryota; Metazoa; Nematoda; Chromadorea; Rhabditida; Rhabditidae.
UCACGAAGAAAACCUUAACAA